RNAcentral lists this ribosomal RNA (468 nucleotides) under uncultured bacterium. Its description in RNAcentral is "partial 16S ribosomal RNA". It matches the Rfam family "Bacterial small subunit ribosomal RNA", at positions 28 to 507 of the family's 1533-position model. The record is from RNAcentral.
GACGAACGCUGGCGGCGUGCUUAACACAUGCAAGUCGAACGGAAAGGCCCUGCUUUUGUGGGGUGCUCGAGUGGCGAACGGGUGAGUAACACGUGAGUAACCUGCCCUUGACUUUGGGAUAACUUCAGGAAACUGGGGCUAAUACCGGAUAGGAGCUCCUGCUGCAUGGUGGGGGUUGGAAAGUUUCGGCGGUUGGGGAUGGACUCGCGGCUUAUCAGCUUGUUGGUGGGGUAGUGGCUUACCAAGGCUUUGACGGGUAGCCGGCCUGAGAGGGUGGACGGGCACCUUGGGCCUGAGAUACGGCGCAGUAUCCUACGGGAGGCAGCAGUGGAGAAUAUGACACAACGGCGGGAAGUCUGAUACAACAACGCCGCGAGCGGAAUGCCGUCUUUCGGGUUGUAAACAGCUUUCGACUGUGCCGAAGCGUGAGUGACGGUAAUGGGUAAAGAAGCACCGGCUAACUACGUG